AACGAACGCUGGCGGCAUGCCUAACACAUGCAAGUCGAACGAGACCUUCGGGUCUAGUGGCGCACGGGUUCGUAACGCGUGGGAACCUUCCCUUAUGUUCGGAAUAACUCUCCGAAAGGGGUGCUAAUACCGGAUAAUAUCUUCGGACCAAAGAUUUAUCGCCUUGGGAUGGGCCCGCGUUGGAUUAGCUAGUUGGUAGGGUAAAAGCCUACCAAGGCGACGAUCCAUAGCUGGUACGAGAGGAUGAUCAGCAACACUGGGACUGAGACACGGCCCAGACUCCUCCGGGAGGGCGCAGUGGGGAAUAUGGGACAACGGGCGAAAGCCUGAUCCAGCAAGGCCGCGUGAGUGAUGAAGGCGUUAGGGUUGUAAAGCUCUUUUACCCGGGAUGAUAAUGACAGUACCGGGAGGAUAAGCUCCGGCUAACUCCGU
Molecule: ribosomal RNA, 432 nt
Filed under: uncultured bacterium
Lineage: Bacteria
Description: partial 16S ribosomal RNA
Rfam family: Bacterial small subunit ribosomal RNA
Source: RNAcentral